AAGGGGAUCUCCGAGUGCCAGCAUUAUUAAUGUUGGCUUGUCCAGUAUGCCUAAAAAGCAUCUGUUAGCAAGGGCCGGGCAAGAACCGGUGCCAGCCGCCGCGGUAACACCGGCGGCCCGAGUGGUAACCGCUAUUAUUGGGUCUAAAGGGUCUGUAGCCGGCCAGGUAAGUCCCUUGGGAAAUCCGGCAGCUCAACUGUCAGGCUGCUAGGGGAUACUGUUUGGCUUGGGACCGGGAGAGGUGAGAGGUACCUUGGGGGUAG
RNAcentral lists this ribosomal RNA (263 nucleotides) under uncultured Methanosaeta sp. RNAcentral describes it as "partial 16S ribosomal RNA". It matches the Rfam family "Archaeal small subunit ribosomal RNA", at positions 371 to 629 of the family's 1478-position model. The record is from RNAcentral. Lineage: Archaea; Methanobacteriati; Methanobacteriota; Methanomicrobia; Methanotrichales; Methanotrichaceae.